Molecule: long non-coding RNA, 562 nt
Filed under: Homo sapiens (human)
Lineage: Eukaryota; Metazoa; Chordata; Mammalia; Primates; Hominidae
Description: non-protein coding lnc-KY-2:2
Source: RNAcentral
AGCUCCUGUCUACAGCUCCCAGCUUGAGCCACGCAGAAGAUGGGUGAUUUCUGCAUUUCCAUCUGAGGUACCAGGCUACACCCUGCAAGGUCAUUAUCAUUAGCUGCACUUUACAGGAGAGGAAGCUGAGGCUCAGAGAAGCAAACUGCCCUCCUACUUAUGUUGAAGACUUUCCCAUCCUAUGAGCCCAGGUGGGAGAAGCUGAAAAUGGCAGAAGGUCACUUUUCCAGCUGCCCUGUGCCUGGUGAGCCUGUGACACAGACCCCGUUGCUCACAUAUCCACCCAGUUUGGUGCCAUAGGUGGUAGCACUUCAGGGCCAAGGAGUUUGAAGAAGUCCAAGGUAGAGCUUUCUGGAAAAUCCUCUGGAGAGGUUGAUCAGAAACCUUCUCCCACAUAAACAAAGGACCCAGGAAGAAGCUAAAAAUGGGCCAUGAGAUUGUCUUUAUUCAUCAAGCCUGAAGUUUUCUGACUCUAUCUUUCUUUUCCCGUGGCCACUGUUACCUCUCCAGAACAGACCCCAUCACCUGAAUUCUGCCUGAGCCUCGACAGAUAUGCUCAGCU